This 661-nucleotide long non-coding RNA is filed under the name Aotus nancymaae (Ma's night monkey). RNAcentral's name for it is "lncRNA (ENSANAG00000039176.1)". The record is from RNAcentral. Lineage: Eukaryota; Metazoa; Chordata; Mammalia; Primates; Aotidae.
CGGCUUCCGGCUUCCGCCUUCCGCAGCGGUCACGUGCCUCCGAUCACGUGACCGACUCCUCUGUCAUCCUACUGCGGUCGCGCUGUUUUCCUUCUACCUGUGCUGCCCUCAACGACUCCUUGGUGCGGGACCCGCUUCACUUUUCCCUCCCGGAGUCUCUCACCGCUGCUUAGACCUCCGGAACUGACAGGAGACGCCGACUUGGCUCCGACUAGGCGCCCCAGCCCGGCUGUGGCCCCGGCGCCCCGGACCGCCGCACCCUCCCUGCCAGCUUUGGGCGCAUUGUGGGGUCCCGAGGGUUCGCAAGAUCUGUUAAAAGACAUUCAAGGUUACAGUUUAGAUGACCAAAAUGGAUAUCCGAGGUGCCGUGGAUGCUGCUGUCCCAACCAACAUUAUUGCUGCCAAGGCUGCAGAAGUUCGUGCAAACAAAGUGAACUGGCAGUCUUAUCUUCAGUAAGUACCGAUUUGCUGUGAAUCAUGGACAGUCAUAUGCUUUUGCCUCAGACUUUUUCAUGGUCAUGCUUCUAUGAGAGAAAUACUGGGAAAAUAUUGAUAAAUGUGGAAAAAACACUUCCUCCUCAGAAUAAUUAGCUGUCUUAGGGAGUUAAGUGUAGUGAGGUGGAAACAGCUUGGUGCUCUAGUGAGAAAACAGAGCUGCUCG